GAGGAUUCCAACUUCCUAUUAAAUUAAUCAAUUAAGCAUAUCCGAAAUAUUCCAAUUGACUUGCUUGACGCCAUUGCUAUCUCCAUCUAAUUAUAUUUUAUACAAUUUCUUCAAAUCUCUCAUUUGCUCAACCCCAUUUUUAUUUGCUAUAAAGCUCAUCGCGCAUGUUUCCUCCCAUCACACAACAGCAACAACAUGGAGAAAUUAUUGCCAUUUGGGCUCUCUCUUCUCCUAGCCACCUCCUUCUUCCCUCAGUUUCCCUUCCUUUCUCAUGCCAGCUCAAAAAAUGUCUACUCUCGACCUUCUGCUCGCAGAGUCAUCUUCACCCAUCACAACGGUUCUAAAUCAGAACCUCAACAGGUGCAUAUUUCGCUGGCGGGUAGAGAUCAUAUGAGAGUAACAUGGAUUACAGAGGAUAAACAUGUAGAUUCAAGAGUAGAAUAUGGAAAGCAACCGGGGAAAUACAAUGCAGUGGCGACAGGAGAGCACACUUCGUAUCAUUAUUUCUUCUAUAGCUCAGGGAAGAUACACCAUGUAAAGAUUGGACCAUUGGAGGCAGCCACAACCUAUUACUACAGAUGUGGAGGAUAUGGCCCUGAAUUCUCCUUCAGAACCCCUCCUUCUGCUUUCCCCAUUGAAUUUGCUGUGGUCGGUGAUCUAGGGCAAACAGAAUGGACUAAAUCAACACUAGAACACGUAGGCAGUCGAGAUUACGACGUAUUUUUGCUACCAGGGGAUUUAUCUUACGCAGAUAGCCAGCAACCUCUCUGGGACUCAUUCGGCCGCCUGGUUGAGCCAUAUGCCAGCCAACGGCCAUGGAUGGUGACAGAAGGGA
RNAcentral lists this unclassified non-coding RNA (835 nucleotides) under Hevea brasiliensis (rubber tree). Lineage: Eukaryota; Viridiplantae; Streptophyta; Magnoliopsida; Malpighiales; Euphorbiaceae. The record is from RNAcentral.